This 226-nucleotide ribosomal RNA is filed under the name uncultured bacterium. Its description in RNAcentral is "partial 16S ribosomal RNA". It matches the Rfam family "Bacterial small subunit ribosomal RNA", at positions 113 to 334 of the family's 1533-position model. The record is from RNAcentral.
CGACGUAGGUAACCUGCCUGGUAGCGGGGGGUAACUAUUGGAAACGAUAGCUAAUACCGCAUAAUAUUAAUUAUUGCAUGAUAAUUAAUUGAAAGGUGCAAUUGCACCACUACCAGAUGGACCUGCGUUGUAUUAGCUAGUAGGUGAGGUAACGGCUCACCUAGGCGACGAUACAUAGCCGACCUGAGAGGGUGAUCGGCCACACUGGGACUGAGACACGGCCCAG